Molecule: transfer RNA, 57 nt
Filed under: Heterocephalus glaber (naked mole-rat)
Lineage: Eukaryota; Metazoa; Chordata; Mammalia; Rodentia; Bathyergidae
Rfam family: tRNA
About the family: Transfer RNA (tRNA) molecules are approximately 80 nucleotides in length. Their secondary structure includes four short double-helical elements and three loops (D, anti-codon, and T loops). Further hydrogen bonds mediate the characteristic L-shaped molecular structure. tRNAs have two regions of fundamental functional importance: the anti-codon, which is responsible for specific mRNA codon recognition, and the 3' end, to which the tRNAs corresponding amino acid is attached (by aminoacyl-tRNA synthetases). tRNAs cope with the degeneracy of the genetic code in two manners: having more than one tRNA (with a specific anti-codon) for a particular amino acid; and 'wobble' base-pairing, i.e. permitting non-standard base-pairing at the 3rd anti-codon position.
Source: Rfam by way of RNAcentral
UAGCUCAGUGGUAGAGCAUAUGCCUAGCAUGCAUGAGAACCUAGGUUCAAUCCCUAG